Molecule: ribosomal RNA, 496 nt
Filed under: uncultured bacterium
Lineage: Bacteria
Description: partial 16S ribosomal RNA
Rfam family: Bacterial small subunit ribosomal RNA
Source: RNAcentral
GAUGAACGCUGGCGGCGUGCCUAAUACAUGCAAGUCGAGCGAACAGACGAGGAGCUUGCUCCUCUGACGUUAGCGGCGGACGGGUGAGUAACACGUGGAUAACCUACCUAUAAGACUGGGAUAACUUCGGGAAACCGGAGCUAAUACCGGAUAAUAUAUUGAACCGCAUGGUUCAAUAGUGAAAGACGGUUUUGCUGUCACUUAUAGAUGGAUCCGCGCCGCAUUAGCUAGUUGGUAAGGUAACGGCUUACCAAGGCAACGAUGCGUAGCCGACCUGAGAGGGUGAUCGGCCACACUGAAAAUGAGACGCGGUCCAGGCUCCUACGGGAGGCAGAGGUAGGGCAUCUUCCGCAAAGGGCGAAAGCCUGACGGAGCAACGCCGCGUGAGUGAUGAAGGUCUUCGGAUCGUAAAACUCUGUUAUUGGGGAAGAACAAAUGUGUAAGUAACUAUGCACGUCUCGACGGUACCGAAGCAGAAAACCACGGCUAACUACGU